CAGCUGCAAUACCACCACAGAUGAUGAUUUACUGUGUCACUCCGGAUGAGGGAGUUGGGAGAGCAGGCGUGCAGAAGGCCUGAUACAACAGGAUGUAUCCUGCUGGCCUGGAGUUCCUUCAAGCAGAAAGACCGAGAACACCCCGGAUCAGAGUGAAACACAGAGCCUAACGCGAAAACGAAACAGUACUCUGAGAUGUAUACUCCCCUCCACCCUGAGCUCCUUGGUGAAUUCUUGAAGGAUCGCAAGGCAUGGACAACUUCCCUGAACUGGGGGAGCCACACAGCUGGAUCACACAGGCCCUGCUGAAGAACUCACAGUCCAGUCAAGGAAGUGACAUGCACAUAAACGGCCAGAACACUGUGCUUCCGAGUGUUUACAAAAGCAGCUGUGAGAAGGGCAGUGACUGGAACACAUGCUUCUGACCUGCAUGUUUGUGGGUCUGGUUCACAGGACGGUGGUGGUGUGGGCGAGGAUGAGGCAAAAGCAGCCUUCAGGCCCUGGUCUCGUCCUCCAUCAGUGAAAC
Long non-coding RNA from Physeter macrocephalus (sperm whale), 526 nucleotides. RefSeq lists it as uncharacterized. The record is from RefSeq and is a predicted model, not a curated record. The transcript has 3 exons. Lineage: Eukaryota; Metazoa; Chordata; Mammalia; Artiodactyla; Physeteridae.